UGGGGAAUAUUGCACAAUGGGCGAAAGCCUGAUGCAGCAACGCCGCGUGAGUGAUGAAGGCCUUCGGGUUGUAAAGCUCUGUCUUCUGGGACGAUAAUGACGGUACCAGAGGAGGAAGCCACGGCUAACUACGUGCCAGCGGCCGCGGUAAUACGUAGGUGGCAAGCGUUGUCCGGAUUUACUGGGCGUAAAGGAUGCGUAGGCGGAUACUUAAGUCAGAUGUGAAAAUCCCGGGCUUAACUUGGGAACUGCAUUUGAAACUGGGUAUCUAGAGUGCGGGAGAGGAAAGUGGAAUUCCUAGUGUAGCGGUGAAAUGCGUAGAGAUUAGGAAGAACACCAGUGGCGAAGGCGACUUUCUGGACCGUAACUGACGCUGAGGCAUGAAAGCGUGGGGAGCAAACA
This 402-nucleotide ribosomal RNA is filed under the name uncultured bacterium. RNAcentral describes it as "bacterial SSU rRNA". It matches the Rfam family "Bacterial small subunit ribosomal RNA", at positions 355 to 774 of the family's 1533-position model. The record is from RNAcentral.